This 780-nucleotide ribosomal RNA is filed under the name Triticum aestivum (bread wheat). RNAcentral's name for it is "partial small subunit ribosomal RNA". The record is from RNAcentral. Lineage: Eukaryota; Viridiplantae; Streptophyta; Magnoliopsida; Poales; Poaceae.
AAAAAGAAGUUUCAGAAGUAUUGGACAGAUAUCCAUGGUCUGAUGGCUAUUGUCACUGUUCUUGACCCAACGUACAAACUCCAUAUGGUGCAGGCUUUGUACGGUCCUCUCUAUGGACCUGAGGCUGCAAUUCAAGAGGUUGCACGCGUGAAGCAAUUGCUCCGAGAACUGUUGGUUCAAUACCAAGAUGCCUCUUCUGCGGGAACAUCAAAUGUUGCUAGUGCUACACAGCCCUUAGCUUCACAGGAAGAAGUUUUUGACAUAUUUGAACAGUACAUGUCUUCACAACCUACUGCUUCAUCUUUGUUGGUUCAUACAGAGCUAGACAUGUAUUUAGAAGAGCCAACUUUGCCAAGAACACCAGAUUUUGAUAUCAUCAAUUGGUGGAAGUUUGGGCGGAUAAAAUAUCCAACUCUACAUCUUAUUGCUCAUGACAUCUUGCCUAUUCCGGUCACAAUGGUAGCAUCGGAAUCUGCAUUCUCUACAAGUGGUGGAAUCCUUACUAGCGACGCUAGGAAGCUGAUAGAAUCUAUGGAGUUUGGAGAGAGAGGUUCAGAACAAGUCAUGCCACCCUACUCCGACCUGCCGCCCCUCCCCGCGGGCCGCCGCCACCGCCUCCCCCCGCACUCCCUCUCCCCUCCCUCCUGGCUCCUCCCCGCUCCACCGACGGUUGCCUCCCUGCGACCGGCUGCUCCGGUCGCUCGUUCCCAGCCCGAUCCACCUGCGGUGAGGCCCCUCCCCCCGUUCCUUUCCAUUUCACCAUUUCCUUCUGUCAUGUAG